This 901-nucleotide ribosomal RNA is filed under the name Petriella setifera. Its description in RNAcentral is "LSU rRNA". It matches the Rfam family "Eukaryotic large subunit ribosomal RNA", at positions 38 to 966 of the family's 3401-position model. Lineage: Eukaryota; Fungi; Ascomycota; Sordariomycetes; Microascales; Microascaceae. The record is from RNAcentral.
GCAUAUCAAUAAGCGGAGGAAAAGAAACCAACAGGGAUUGCCUCAGUAACGGCGAGUGAAGCGGCAACAGCUCAAAUUUGAAAUCUGGCUGCCUGUGCAGUCCGAGUUGUAAUUUGAAGAGGAUGCUUUUGGCAAGGUGCCUUCCGAGUUCCCUGGAAUGGGACGCCAUAGAGGGUGAGAGCCCCGUAUGGUCGGUCGCCGAGCCUCUGUAAAGCUCCUUCGACGAGUCGAGUAGUUUGGGAAUGCUGCUCAAAAUGGGAGGUAAACCCCUUCUAAAGCUAAAUACUGGCCAGAGACCGAUAGCGCACAAGUAGAGUGAUCGAAAGAUGAAAAGCACUUUGAAAAGAGAGUUAAACAGCACGUGAAAUUGUUGAAAGGGAAGCGCUUGCGACCAGACUUGUGCUCGUCGAAUCAGCCGUCGCUCGUCGGCGGCGCAUUUCGGCGGGCUCAGGCCAGCAUCAGUUCGCUGUGGGGGAGAAAGGCGGUAGGAAUGUGGCUCCUCGGAGUGUUAUAGCCUACCGUAUAAUACCCCUCGGCGGACUGAGGACCGCGCAUCUGCAAGGAUGCUGGCGUAAUGGUUGUCAGCGACCCGUCUUGAAACACGGACCAAGGAGUCGUCCUAAUAUGCGAGUGUUCGGGUGUCAAACCCCUACGCGUAAUGAAAGUGAACGGAGGUGAGAGCUUCGGCGCAUCAUCGACCGAUCCUGAUGUUCUCGGAUGGAUUUGAGUAUGAGCAUAUUGGGCCGGACCCGAAAGAAGGUGAACUAUGCCUGUAUAGGGUAAAGCCAGAGGAAACUAUGGUGGAGGCUCGCAGCGGUUCUGACGUGCAAAUCGAUCGUCAAAUAUGGGCAUGGGGGGCGAAAGACUAAUCGAACCUUCUAGUAGCUGGUUUCCGCCGAAG